GACCCCGCACAAGCGGCGGAGCAUGCGGCUUAAUUCGAUGAUACCCGUAGAACCUUACCAACCCUUGACAUCCUGUGCUACAUUCAGAGAUGAAUGGUUCCCUUCGGGGACGCAGUGACAGGUGCUGCAUGGCUGUCGUCAGCUCGUGUCGUGAGAUGUUCGGUUAAGUCCGGCAACGAGCGCAACCCACAUCCCUAGUUGCCAGCAGUUCGGCUGGGCACUCUAUGGAAACUGCCCGUGAUAAGCGGGAGGAAGGUGUGGAUGACGUCAAGUCCUCAUGGCCCUUACGGGUUGGGCUACACACGUGCUACAAUGGCAUCUACAGUGGGUUAAUCCCCAAAAGAUGUCUCAGUUCGGAUUGUCGUCUGCAACUCGACGGCAUGAAGUCGGAAUCGCUAGUAAUCG
RNAcentral lists this ribosomal RNA (405 nucleotides) under uncultured bacterium. RNAcentral's name for it is "bacterial SSU rRNA". It matches the Rfam family "Bacterial small subunit ribosomal RNA", at positions 920 to 1344 of the family's 1533-position model. The record is from RNAcentral.